RNAcentral lists this ribosomal RNA (490 nucleotides) under uncultured bacterium. RNAcentral's name for it is "partial 16S ribosomal RNA". It matches the Rfam family "Bacterial small subunit ribosomal RNA", at positions 28 to 507 of the family's 1533-position model. The record is from RNAcentral.
GAUGAACGCUAGCUACAGGCUUAACACAUGCAAGUCGAGGGGAAACGAUGAGAGAGCUUGCUCUCUUAGGCGUUGACCGGCGCACGGGUGAGUAACGCGUAUCCAACCUACCCAUUACAGGGGGAUAACCUUGCGAAAGUAAGACUAAUACCCCAUGGCAUUUUAUGGUGGCAUCAUUAUAGGAUUAAAGAUUUAUUGGUAAUGGAUGGGGAUGCGUCUGAUUAGCUUGUUGGCGGGGUAACGGCCCACCAAGGCAACGAUCAGUAGGGGUUCUGAGAGGAAGGUCCCCCACAUUGGAACUGAGACACGGUCCAAACUCCUACGGGAGGCAGCAGUGAGGAAUAUUGGUCAAUGGGCGAGAGCUUGAACCAGCCAAGUAGCGUGCAGGAUGACGGCCCUAUGGGUUGUAAACUGCUUUUAUAGGGGAAUAAAGUGAGCUACGUGUAGUUUAUUGCAUGUACCCUAUGAAUAAGGACCGGCUAAUUCCGUG